GACGAACGCUGGCGGCGUGCUUAACACAUGCAAGUCGAGCGGUAAGGCCCUUUCGGGGGUACACGAGCGGCGAACGGGUGAGUAACACGUGGGUGACCUGCCCUCAGCUCUGGGAUAAGCCUGGGAAACCGGGUCUAAUACCGGAUAUGACUCCAUGACGCAUGUUGUGGGGUGGAAAGCCUUGUGCGGCUGAGGAUGGGCCCGCGGCCUAUCAGCUUGUUGGUGGGGUGAUGGCCUACCAAGGCGACGACGGGUAGCCGGCCUGAGAGGGCGACCGGCCACACUGGGACUGAGACACGGCCCACGACUCCUACGGGAGGGCAGCAGUGGGGAAUCUUGCGCAAUGGGCGAAAGCCUGACGCAGCGACGCCGCGUGAGGGAUGACGGCCU
RNAcentral lists this ribosomal RNA (390 nucleotides) under uncultured bacterium. Its description in RNAcentral is "bacterial SSU rRNA". It matches the Rfam family "Bacterial small subunit ribosomal RNA", at positions 28 to 417 of the family's 1533-position model. The record is from RNAcentral.